UCCCGUGUGGCUCAGUUGGUAGAGCAUGGUGUUUGCAACUCCAGGGUUGUGGGUUCGAUUCCCACCGGGGAC
Molecule: transfer RNA, 72 nt
Filed under: Salmo salar (Atlantic salmon)
Lineage: Eukaryota; Metazoa; Chordata; Actinopteri; Salmoniformes; Salmonidae
Rfam family: tRNA
About the family: Transfer RNA (tRNA) molecules are approximately 80 nucleotides in length. Their secondary structure includes four short double-helical elements and three loops (D, anti-codon, and T loops). Further hydrogen bonds mediate the characteristic L-shaped molecular structure. tRNAs have two regions of fundamental functional importance: the anti-codon, which is responsible for specific mRNA codon recognition, and the 3' end, to which the tRNAs corresponding amino acid is attached (by aminoacyl-tRNA synthetases). tRNAs cope with the degeneracy of the genetic code in two manners: having more than one tRNA (with a specific anti-codon) for a particular amino acid; and 'wobble' base-pairing, i.e. permitting non-standard base-pairing at the 3rd anti-codon position.
Source: Rfam by way of RNAcentral